Molecule: small RNA, 79 nt
Filed under: Pedobacter zeae
Lineage: Bacteria; Pseudomonadati; Bacteroidota; Sphingobacteriia; Sphingobacteriales; Sphingobacteriaceae
Description: Flavo-1 RNA
Rfam family: Flavo-1 RNA
Source: RNAcentral
AUUUAAACGGGAUUGAAGCGGCAUCCUCCGAUCCGAUUUUCCAUCGGAAUCGAAGAUAUAGCGAAAAGCCCGGCUAACA